This 467-nucleotide ribosomal RNA is filed under the name uncultured Spirochaetota bacterium. RNAcentral describes it as "bacterial SSU rRNA". It matches the Rfam family "Bacterial small subunit ribosomal RNA", at positions 338 to 795 of the family's 1533-position model. The record is from RNAcentral. Lineage: Bacteria; Pseudomonadati; Spirochaetota.
CCUACGGGAGGCUGCAGUGGGGAAUAGUCUACAAUGGUCGAAAGACUGAUAGUGCGACGCCGCGUGAACGAAGAAGCCCUUCGGGGUGUAAAGUUCUUUUAUAUGUGAGCAAUGGGUUCUAUAUGAAUAGUAUGGGAUCAGAGAUAUUAGCAUAUGAAUAAGCAACGGCUAACUCCGUGCCAGCAGCCGCGGUAACACGGGGGUUGCAAGCGUUGUCCGGAAUUACUAGGCGUAAAGGGCAGGUAGGCGGAUCCAUAAGUUUGAUGUUAAAGGCAGCGGCUCACCCGCUGUACGGCAUCAGAUACUGUGGAUCUGGAAUGCGGUUGGGGAAGACAGAAUUCCUGGUGUAGCGGUGGAAUGCGCAGAGAUCAGGAGGAAUACCAAAGGCGAAGGCAGUCUUCUAAGCCGAUAUUGACGCUAAACUGCGAAGGUGUGGGUAUCAAACAGGAUUAGAUACCCCGGUAGUC